RNAcentral lists this long non-coding RNA (1424 nucleotides) under Homo sapiens (human). RNAcentral's name for it is "HSALNT0385917". The record is from RNAcentral. Lineage: Eukaryota; Metazoa; Chordata; Mammalia; Primates; Hominidae.
CUGCCAACCUCAGGGGUAUAGUCCUUGUUCCCACUUAACGUAAGAGGAAACUGACAGAGAUCCCAGGCGAUUUACCCAAAGUCACCCAGCUGGUAGAUGGAGAAGUAGAGGCAGGAACUCGGAUUAUCUGAAUUAUGGUUUGUAUUAAGCACUCAUUCUGUGCCAGGCGCAGUGAAAGUACCAGAUGGGGAGUUUGUAAACUGGGCAAAUGGGGGUCCCGGAACCCCAGAACCUGAUGAAACCCUGGCCCCGCCUCCUCUGAGUGUCGGCCCCAACAACAGCGCAGAAGAGGCCCCUUUCUACCACCAGGCUCCACCCCCAGCGCCAUUGAUUGGACUGUGCAGAAGGGGUGGGGCCUUCCAAGCGAGAUGAGCCAAUCAGAACCUCUCUUCAAGGAACUGGAAAUUAGAACAGUGUUUGGGCCAAAUAGAUGGGGGUGAGCAGGGGAGGAAAGGUCUUGAGGGAGCAGCACGCUUGCCUGAUGGGUGCCCAAAGCCAGGGGCAGGUGGAGGUGAGAGAAGGACAAGCUCUGCAAACGUUGCGGAAGCGCUCUGUCCAUGGAGAAGGCACAGGACUUCCAUGUGGGGAGCAGCUUACUCCUGCUGAGAACUUUGGGGAGACAGAGUGGAGCAGCCAUCUCAGACCUGAGCGGCUAAGGAGCUGGGUCCCCCUCUGUCGCACUGUGCAGAGCUGCUGGACUUUGCAGUAAGCAGCCUUCAGGUCUAAAGGCUCCACAUUGUAAGGAAGCCCAGUCACAUGGACAGACCAUAUGGGUCCAGUUGGCUGCCCCAGCCAAGGUUUCAGCCAACAGCCAAGAUUACCCACAGCCACGUGUAUGAAUGAGCCUUCAAAUGAGUCCAGCACCCAGCAGAAUAAUGCCCCCUCCCGUCUCACAAAGAUUUCCAUGCCCUAAUUCCUGGAACCUGUGAAUCUGCUACAUCACAUGGCAAGCAGAGCUGGCAGAUGGAAUUUAGGGUGUGGAGCUUGAGGUGGGGAGGGCAGCCUGGAUUACACAGGUGGGCCCUAUCUAAGCACAUGAGCCCUUAUACAAGCAAAGAACAUUUCCUCAGCUGCCAGACAGCUGGCAAACAGAAUUGGAGGGGCAGAGAGAUGUAAUCAGAAAGGGCAGAAGAGACUUAAAAGGAAGAGAGGCUCGACCUGCUGUGGCUACCUUUGAAAAUGGAGGAAUGGGGCUCCAAGCCAAGGGAUGCAGGCUGCCUCUUCAUUGGAGUACUGCCAGCAAGAAAACAGCCCAGCAAUUGCAAGGAAAUUAAUUUUCCCAACAGUCUGAAUGAGCAAGAAAAUGGACUCUCCCCUGCCACGCCCUGAGUUCAGCCUUGUGAGACUCUAAGCAGAUACCCACUCAAGCCCACAGGACGUCCAACCCAUAACAAUUGUAAGAUAAUAAACUGGGAUAGUUUUAA